This 121-nucleotide small RNA is filed under the name Streptococcus varani. RNAcentral describes it as "Streptococcus sRNA SpR19". It matches the Rfam family "Streptococcus sRNA SpR19". Lineage: Bacteria; Bacillati; Bacillota; Bacilli; Lactobacillales; Streptococcaceae. The record is from Rfam by way of RNAcentral.
GCAAUUCUCAAGCGAGCCUGUGGUAGUGAAAGUCAGGUGAAGGAAAGAUAAAGAUUGGCACUUUCGGAAUGAAUCUGAAAUAAAAUGAAGUAAUAAAUUAGGGUGGAACCGCGUCUCAACG